AGAUUAAGCCAUGCAUGUCUCAGUGCAAGCCGUCCACUAUAUAACCUUAUAGUACACGGUGAAACCGCGAAAGGCUCAUUAAAUCAGUUAUGGUUCCUUAGAUCGUGCACACGUUACUUGGAUAACUGUGGUAAUUCUAGAGCUAAUACAUGCCGACAGAGUUCCGACUAGUGCCGGGCACGCGCGCACACACAUGUGCGUGCGGCUUAACCCGCCGCCUUGGUGUUGUGUGCGUGUCCGGAGUACGGAAGGAACGCUCAUAUUAGAUCAAAACCGGCCAAGCGGGAUCGUUGGUAACGCCUCGUGUGCGCGCACGUAGGUGCCCGCCUGCAACAGCGUCCCCGCGGCGUUCGUUCAGCGGUGUCGCGUACGUGCGUUGCGCACCCGUGCGUCUUCGUUCCCCGUAAGUGGCCCGCGCAAAGACUUGACGACUCUGAAUAAUUUCUAGCUGAUCGCACGGUCGAAACGUUUUAAUCCCGAGCUAUUAGUCUCGAAACAAAAACAGCACCGGCGACGUAUCUUUCAAAUGUCUGCCUUAUCAACUGUCGACGGUAGGUUCGACGCCUACCGUGGUGGUAACGGGUAACGGGGAAUCAGGGUUCGAUUCCGGAGAGGGAGCCUGAGAAACGGCUACCACCUCUACGGAAGGCAGCAGGCGCGCAAAUUACCCACUCCCAGCUCGGGGAGGUAGUGACGAAAAAUAACGAUACGGGACUCAUCCGAGGCCCCGUAAUCGGAAUGAGUCCACUUUAAAACCUUGGUCACACGAGGAUCAAU
This 777-nucleotide ribosomal RNA is filed under the name Apiomorpha spinifer. RNAcentral describes it as "bacterial SSU rRNA". It matches the Rfam family "Eukaryotic small subunit ribosomal RNA", at positions 41 to 548 of the family's 1831-position model. Lineage: Eukaryota; Metazoa; Arthropoda; Insecta; Hemiptera; Eriococcidae. The record is from RNAcentral.